UUAUCGCCCAAGGAUGAGCCCGCGUAAGAUUAGCUAGUUGGUGGGGUAAAGGCCUACCAAGGCGACGAUCUUUAGCUGGUCUGAGAGGAUGAUCAGCCACACCGGGACUGAGACACGGCCCAGACUCCUACGGGAGGCAGCAGUGGGGAAUCUUGCGCAAUGCGCGAAAGCGUGACGCAGCAACACCGCGUGAGGGAAGACGGCCUUAGGGUUGUAAACCUCUUUCAGAUGGGACGAAGGUUGUCCGGUCGAAUAGCCGAGAUGAUUGACGGUACCGUCAGAAGAAGCUCCGGCUAACUACGUGCCAGCAGCCGCGGUANAUACGUAGGGAGCGAGCGUUGUCCGGAAUCAUUGGGCGUAAAGAGCACGUAGGUGGAUCAAUAAGNNCUCGCUNGGAGAAAAGUCGAAGGGCUCAAACACUUAGAAUCGCGCCNGGGNGGGGAUCACUGGGAGGAUACCUAAAGGUACAGGGCACAAAGGCAAACGUCAGGCAACUACAAUGGGGAGAAACACAGGGAGGAACANAGACGACAAUAUNAAAUCCCGGGCAAGGAAAANANCAUCACCAACCGGUAACGAAAAACAUCAAGAAAAGACAAA
This 600-nucleotide ribosomal RNA is filed under the name uncultured bacterium. Its description in RNAcentral is "bacterial SSU rRNA". The stretch from base 1 to 344 matches the Rfam family "Bacterial small subunit ribosomal RNA", at positions 212 to 546 of the family's 1533-position model. The record is from RNAcentral.